RNAcentral lists this unclassified non-coding RNA (843 nucleotides) under Zea mays. RNAcentral describes it as "misc RNA Zm00001eb183130". Lineage: Eukaryota; Viridiplantae; Streptophyta; Magnoliopsida; Poales; Poaceae. The record is from RNAcentral.
CUGGUCCUUAUCUCCAGCAGUCCAGCACGAACAGGUCUCCGGUUCUUAUCUGAAUCUCCAGAACGACAACGUCUCCGCUCAGCUGCGCUCGUCUCUCAUCUUCUCAGCCUGCAAAAAAAUCAGCCGCCGCCCCUGCGCAGAUUUUUUUUCAGCGUCUAUAUCACUUUGCGCGUGUCCAAGCCACCGUUCAGCUCGAGAAGAAAAUCCUACCGUGCUCGAUUCUUCCCUGCGCGUCUCCUCCGCUUGGAGCUUCCUGCGCUCCCUGCGUCCCUCUGUGGCCGGAACUCCCUUCAUGGCCGGAGCUCGGCCGGCGCUCGGUCCUGCCACUCCCAUGGCCGCGCCCCCCCUGCUUCUCUCUCUCAGCGCUCGCGGCUCUUUCUCUCCUGCUCCGUCCAUGGCUGUUUGCCUCUGCUCGCGGCGUCCCUGCUCGCCCAGCCGAGCUCUCCACUGCCCAGCUCCAUCUCACGGCGCUCUAUCUGCUCGGUUCCAUGGCCGCGGUACUCCAGCUCGCCGUGCCCUGCUCCCUCUGUUUCCAUGGCAGGCUCUCUGCUCGUCGCGCGCGCCUGGACGCUCUCCCUGGUGGCCGCCUGUUCUCCCUGUGUACCGCGCGAGUUCUUUGGUAGACGCCCGCUGACCGUGCUCCACUUCGCCCAUCGCGACGCUCCAGUUCCAACUCGCUGCGCGCCGAGCUCUUCGCUGUUGUCCGUGCGCGCGCGCCGCUCGUCGACCUCUCUGCUCACGCAUAGCUCGCUCUUUUCUUAUUUGCCGCGCGCACGAAUUUCAUCUGCUCCCACAGCAUGUCGAGUUCCCGCACCAUCAUCGCUUCUGUCACAAGCUCGUUGA